UUAAGUGACGAUAGCCUAGGAGAUACACCUGUACCCAUGCCGAACACAGAAGUUAAGCCCUAGAACGCCGGAAGUAGUUGGGGGUUGCCCCC
RNAcentral lists this ribosomal RNA (92 nucleotides) under Staphylococcus aureus. RNAcentral also lists the same sequence under 1 other name. The record is from RNAcentral. Lineage: Bacteria; Bacillati; Bacillota; Bacilli; Caryophanales; Staphylococcaceae.